This 204-nucleotide unclassified non-coding RNA is filed under the name Hevea brasiliensis (rubber tree). Lineage: Eukaryota; Viridiplantae; Streptophyta; Magnoliopsida; Malpighiales; Euphorbiaceae. The record is from RNAcentral.
UCUGCGAACAUUUCUUGAGAUCCUGAAAUUUCAACGUUGAAAAAUUGCAUUUCAAUUAGCCACAUGGUCAAGGAGGUUAGGAGUUUGAAUCGCGAAAACCCUUUCUUUCAUUUAAGAAUUUCCUACGUACCAAAAAAAAUAAAGAUAAUUCCCAACAAAUCAGGAACUCUGGAAUUAUUAUACCUUUUAGAUAUGCAAUUGUUG